GACGAACGCUGGCGGCGUGCCGAAUACAUGCAAGUCGAACGCUUUUUCUUUCACCGGAGCUUGCUCCACCGAAAGAAAAGGAGUGGCAAACGGGUGAGUAACACGUGGGUAACCUGCCCAUCAGAAGGGGAUAACACGUGGAAACAGGUGCUAAUACCGUAUAACACUAUUUUCAGCAUGGAAGAAAGUUGAAAGGCGCUUCUGAGUCAAUGCUGGAUGGACCGGGGGUGCAUUAGCUAGUUGGUGAGGUAACGGCUCACCAAGGCAACGAUGCAUAGACGACCUGACAGGGUGAUCGGCCACACUGGGACUGAGACACGGCCCAUACUCCUACGGGAGGUAGCAGUAGGGAAUCUUCGGCAAUGGACGAAAGUCUGACAGAGCAACGCCGCGUGAGUGAAGAAGGUUUUCGGAUCGUAAAACUCUGUUGUUAGAGAAGAACAAGGAUGAGAGUAAAACGUUCAUCCCUUGACGGUAUCUAACCAGAAAGCCACGGCUAACUACGUGCCAGCCGCCGCCGUAA
RNAcentral lists this ribosomal RNA (523 nucleotides) under uncultured bacterium. RNAcentral describes it as "partial 16S ribosomal RNA". It matches the Rfam family "Bacterial small subunit ribosomal RNA", at positions 28 to 523 of the family's 1533-position model. The record is from RNAcentral.